UUUACCGGUUUCUCGUAAAUUAUUUAUCCCGGGAAAAGGGGGAUUUUGGCCGGUAAAUCCUGAUAAAUCUCAGUAACUGGGUUUCCGCCAUUCAAUCCUAGACCUGACCUCAAAGCUAUUGUAAAGUCUCCAUAUUUGUGGACCCUAUUUGAUUUGUUUUAUUCAAUUCGGUUUGGAAUGAGAACGGUAGCCCCUAUCUGCAAAAGCAGCGUGUCUGCGGAAAAGCUGAGUAUCUUGGCUAUUGAUCGGAGCUGUCAAAUCUUACUACCAUAUAUGGGCAUACAAAUAUAAGGGAAAGCCGAGCCGAUGACCUCAUUUCAAGAUGGCUGCAACCUACAUCCGGGUUAUCGUUGUGAAGCAUAAACGAAAUAAACACGGAAUAACUUGAUACACAACGAAAGCCGGGACUCCACAGAUCAUGAGGAUAUCUUAUUAGUCUGCCAUUAUUGAUCACCAGACUAUUAUUUUACACAACAUUUUCACCAAACAGAAAACAUUUUACAAGGCGCUCCUGACGACCCAGGCAGAGGUGAAGGUUGCAGAGGUCUACAUGGGUUCACGCCAGCUACUGCAGGAUGGUGCUCCACAACCCAGACAAAGAUGUACCAGCUGAUGGAUCAUCAUAGGUGACCCCAGUGGCCAUGGGAGGACCAAGACCAGACUCUACGCAUCAUGUUUGUUGCUUUCGUGGCCAGACUUCUCAUUGCAGCUGUUGUAUGGGCCCUGAGAGAAGUGGCCACAAUGCAACUGAAGUAUACAACACCAGCAUAGUUCCACGGUGGACUUAAAUAACACCCGCUCCAGCUCAAGCCAACUUAAGGCUCAGGACGGGUGUCCAGCAAACAAUAGCCGCCCCAUUUCUAGAAGACGCAGUAGGUCGAUGCUGAACUCUGGCAGUGUGGACAGUGUCAACGUGAUGAUUGUCCUCUUUGUACGGACAAAGAGUGUACUCCUGUGUAACUUUAAAUGAUUCCCUUAAAUGUUUUGCACCAUAAAGGGGAAAAAACUCAGUGGCUCAACGGAAGCCAUUUACAACGAUAAUGUACUGGUGUAAGAGAGCCUACAAUGCUUUAUAUUUUGCUUGGUUGAAGUUUUGCUUAGAUUAGGACAUAAUUGGCUUACAUUAUGAAUUAUUACUUACAUGCUUACUUGUAAUUUUGUAUUAGAUUGAAAAUAGUCUCAAAAGGGAGGAAUAUGAUUGGGAAGAUUACAAACUCUUAUGCACAUACGCUGUAUAAGCCUUAAACCUGUACAUUUCCACUUUUUGUUUCUUUCAUGUAAGAAGAAGCCAGUGUUUUUCCUCUCUUGUUUGAGAGUAACUUUGUCUUUGGCUAUGUGACUAAGGGCUGUCUGAGAGUGACCGGUUUCUGGUCCAUCCUGUUCUUUUCAUGUCUUUCAAGGGCACAGCUGUGUGGAGAUAUGAAGAGAACAAUUCUAACAGCAGAAAGGAGUAACAAAACUGCCGUUAUCACUUGUUUGUAUGCUAUGUUCCCAUCAUGAUCUCACACAUCUGCUAAACUGCCACGUAGACAAAGGUUAUAAAAGCUGAGACCCAACUCUUGUUCAUUGGGCCCUUAACACUGCAAUGUUGAGUGGAUUGUUCACUGCUCCAGAUUUUUAAUAAAAAGUUGUUGUUUGAAGAA
This is a long non-coding RNA of Salvelinus sp. IW2-2015, 1643 nucleotides long. RefSeq lists it as uncharacterized. The record is from RefSeq and is a predicted model, not a curated record. Lineage: Eukaryota; Metazoa; Chordata; Actinopteri; Salmoniformes; Salmonidae.